AAAAAAAUUCAAAUUUUUCAACUCAACCCAACCCAUAUUUCAACCUAAUCCAAUCCAACCCAUAUAGUAUGAGUUGGGUAGUCUCGGUUGUCAGGUUACUCGAAUUAUUCUUACACACCUAUUUGAUAUAGAGGGGUUGGGGUGAGAACAAAAGUUUGUAUAUUAGAGGCGAGCUGAUAGGAAUUAUUGUGCCUAUAACAUAUAAGUAUGAAGAACUUAAAGCUUGAGGUCAUCAAGGACGACCUACAGAAAUGGUUCGUGCUCGAUUUCACUAAUUGAGUACUUACUCGAUUUGUUAAGCAUCAAAUACUCAGCAUGUGGAAAGAGUUCAUGGGAGACAACCAUAGGCAUUUCAUACCACUCAAAUUGAUAAAUCGUGUGAAAGAUUGACACUUCCUCUACGAUCAUUACAUAACUCGACAAUUUCAGGAGCAAUCAAUGAUCAACAAGGCUGCUAGAGCGAAGUAAUCUUACAACCACAGUAGCGGGUCCAAGUCGUUCCUACAACGAUAACAUGAGCUCAUUGAACAACGAGGUCACCCACAGUGGACCGUGUGGAGUUGUUCAGAGAAACACAUGCCUAGGAGUGGCUAGUUCAUUUCACAGACGGUCAUAGAUGCGCAUAAUUAGAUGCUGGAACUCCAGUCCCAACCUAUCCCAAAAGGUUCUUAACAACUAUCAAGGGAUGAGAUAUGCGAGACUGUUUUGGGUAGAUGAUCGGGCUACUCAAAAGGUCUUUGUUGAGGCUCCAAGCCUAAGUCACGGAAGGGUGGUGGCAAUUCAUCAAGUUUAUCAACUCAAGAAAUGCACGAUAAGAGAUGGUGCAAUCUCAGAUUAGAGAACUUGAAAAAGGACAACUACUUGUGCUUGAAGAACAAAGAAGAAUGUCGGAGAUGCAUGCUCGAUAGAUGGAAGAAGUAAAAAAAAUGAUUGAGGAAAUGUCUCGGGCAAAUAGAUGAUCCUGAACUUACUGUACGCUUUUUUUUUAAGUUUACUUGUUUUUUAUUUCAUGAUAGAGAAAUUUAUUUCAAAAAAUGUAUACUUUACUUUAAUGCCAUUGUAGGUGUGGGCUCAUUGGAAAUGGCGUCCGGGUUAAUGAAAAAUUCAUGCAGCGUUUCUUUUU
This is a long non-coding RNA of Cucumis melo (muskmelon), 1123 nucleotides long. RefSeq lists it as uncharacterized. The transcript has 4 exons. Lineage: Eukaryota; Viridiplantae; Streptophyta; Magnoliopsida; Cucurbitales; Cucurbitaceae. The record is from RefSeq and is a predicted model, not a curated record.